Molecule: small RNA, 223 nt
Filed under: Arabidopsis thaliana (thale cress)
Lineage: Eukaryota; Viridiplantae; Streptophyta; Magnoliopsida; Brassicales; Brassicaceae
Description: ATSL102140
Source: RNAcentral
UUGGUCAAAAUUACUAAUACAUUUAAUUGUUGCAUAUAAAAAUAAAAUAACCUUUAUUUUGCGCAACAAUACUUUUUGGGUUAAACUACAAAUAAAUUGAAACAAUGGAGUCAUCUAUAUAUACAUUUUGGCAGCCAUUUUAGCAAAUAAAUCCUACAGUUGGACUUAUUUACAACCCAAUGCCAUUAGCAUUAAAAGUUUUUUCCAAAAUAAUUAAUUUUAC